This 253-nucleotide ribosomal RNA is filed under the name uncultured bacterium. RNAcentral describes it as "partial 16S ribosomal RNA". It matches the Rfam family "Bacterial small subunit ribosomal RNA", at positions 524 to 776 of the family's 1533-position model. The record is from RNAcentral.
GACAGAGGUCCCGAGCGUUAGGCGGAAUCACUGGGCUUAAAGCGUGUGUAGGCGGAUCGUUAAGUGCCUUGUGAAAUCCCAUGGCUUAACCAUGGAACUGCUUGGCAUACUGGCGGUCUUGAGCCACUUAGGGGCUACCGGAACAAAUGGUGGAGCGGUGAAAUGCGUAGAUAUCAUUUGGAACGCCAAUGGUGAAAACAGGUAGCUGGGAGUGUGCUGACGCUGAGACACGAAAGCCAGGGGAGCGAACGGG